Molecule: ribosomal RNA, 267 nt
Filed under: uncultured bacterium
Lineage: Bacteria
Description: partial 16S ribosomal RNA
Rfam family: Bacterial small subunit ribosomal RNA
Source: RNAcentral
GUCCUGGCUGUAAACGAUGCUCACUAAGUAGGGAGAACUGAUUUCUUCCCUGCCGAACCUAACGGAUUAAGUGAGCCGCCUGGGGGAGUACGGGUCGCAAGGCUAAAACUCAAAGGAAUUGACGGGGCUCGCACAAGCGGUGGAGCAUGUGGUUCAAUUCGAAGCAACGCGAAGAACCUUACCCGGGCUUGACAUGCACGUAGUAGGAACCUGAAAGGGGACGACCCGUAGAGUCGGGAGCGUGCACAGGUGUUGCAUGGCUGUCGU